GACGAACCGUGCGAACGUUGUUCGGAAUCACUGGGCUUAAAGGGCGCGUAGGCGGGUUCUCAAGUCAGGGGUGAAAUCUUUCGGCUUAACCGGAAAAGUGCCCCUGAUACUGAGAGUCUCGAGGGAGGUAGGGGCAUGUGGAACUAAUGGUGGAGCGGUGAAAUGCGUAGAUAUCAUUAGGAACGCCGGUGGCGAAAGCGACGUGCUGGACCUCUUCUGACGCUGAGGCGCGAAAGCUAGGGGAGCAAAC
RNAcentral lists this ribosomal RNA (250 nucleotides) under uncultured bacterium. Its description in RNAcentral is "partial 16S ribosomal RNA". It matches the Rfam family "Bacterial small subunit ribosomal RNA", at positions 524 to 773 of the family's 1533-position model. The record is from RNAcentral.